Molecule: long non-coding RNA, 2353 nt
Organism: Mya arenaria
Lineage: Eukaryota; Metazoa; Mollusca; Bivalvia; Myida; Myidae
Exons: 4
Source: RefSeq, a predicted model, not a curated record
UUUCAAGUUAAAGAAAGGUUGUCGUUGAAAAAUGCUUACUUUAUCGUUAUCACGGAUGUUUUUGAUGAAUUACAUCGGUUGCUCGGGCUAACUUCAUUCAUUUGCAUAAAAUGUCUGCUACUGAUGAAAGAUAAACAAAAUCAUCGAGCUUUGCAGAACGAUGAAUCAGAAUGACUGAAUGACACUAAGUUUUGCAAAAUGGAUAUAUCCCUUACUUCCAUGGCCUUCGACAUAUUUGAGUGGGAUCCUGAAACAACCCCUGACACAACAACUUAAUUUACAAGAACAACCCUGCGUAUAAGAACUACAAUACUUCUGACAAAAACAAACAAAAGCAACUCCAGAUUUAUGAACAACUCUGAUUACUAGAACAUGAACACCAACCCCAUCUUCAAGAACAACAACUUCAACCCCAGAACAUCAACACUUCCUGCAGGGACAACUACAAAAACAUCGGCUUUAAGAACAAAUUCAUCCUAAACACAAACAUCAGCAACAACAGCUACCCGAAUAAAACUACUCGAACUACAAGAACACCAGCAACACACUCUUUAAGAACACCAGCAUCAUCAUCUUCUUCUAGACUUGCAAAUGCAACAAACACCAAAGACAAAGUUGAAUGAUCAACAGAUACAUUUGACCUGCUUCAGAAAUCAGUAACAAGAUCUUAACAAGGCACCAUUUUGUACAAUGUAAAGUCAAAGAAGAGUGUUACAAAAAGAGAUGACCAAGAAUACAAUGCCAUCAAUGAUAGAAACAUAGAAAAAAUGUCAUCGAUGUGUUCGCGAAAAGCAUUUUGCAACGAAAUAUAUAAAUAAGACGACCGUGAUCCACACGAAACGCAAAGCGAUUUUGACGAUGCAAACGUUAGUAUUUCUAAUAGUUUCUGACCAUAACAUUAUGCAAUUCGCUAUAUCACAGAUGCUAGAUAUAAAUUAAAAAUAUAUGGGUCGAGAAGUUGACAUUUUGGCUUGCCGUUCAGUCGGCAAGUCGAAACAGGAUUCAGUAAGUACUAAAUGACAAUUCAUCUCCCCAUCUUCAAAUACUAACUAUUGAUAACUGACGACCCCAUAUAUGUGUGGAUUCCUUAGAAAGGAUAUUGCUUGCUGAUAUCUAUUAUGUAAAAUAAAAGUAAGAAAUAAACUGCAAACUUUAAAAAUAUGACAGUGUGCAUGUCUGAUCGCUUUUGUAUAUUGAUAACAAUACACAAUUCAUUAUCUAAUUUAAAAAAUACAGUAAUUCUUACCCAACCGUUCUGUAAAUAGAACGACUCGACCAAAACCACAAACAGUUUUUUAAAUAACGUAACAAUAACGCAGGAAAAUCCAUCGCUUCAAAUAAAUUUAAAGCGUAUAACUGAAACACUAAUGACCAUUAAACAUAUAAUAAAUUAACACUUUUUUAACACGCUGAUUUAAGUUCUUUCGGGGCCGGCUGACAUAAUACAAACAACAAGACGAUAAAAGAUUCUCAAUAAACAUGUAUGAUAUUAUUGUCAUGCGAUGACCCAUGGUCCGAUCAUAUUCGAAGAUGUUGCGUUCAUCGGGUGAUAAUCGCAAUCGCCGGAAGGCAAUUCAUUUAACGAAUAGAAAUUGAGGUGUAAAUUUUAUUAUAUUAAGCAAUUUUCUUAAGUCAUUAAAGUAUGUGUUUUCUGUGUUUAAAGAUAUUCACAUUAUUUCUGUCAAAAAUAAGGGCUUUCAAAUGAUAGCAAAAUCAUAUGGCAUAUAUCCAAACUUCACACGUGGUAAACUUUGAUUUUGACGUAGACAAAUUCACAUUUUUGACAUCUUUUUAUUUGACUGUUAAUUUCAUUCAUAAUUCCUGUACUGCAAUUAAAAAUUUUGAUGUUUUUUCUUUUUCUUUUGUGGAUUUACACAUUUUGAGCUGAUUCUUUAAACUUCUAUUUUGAUAUUAUCCAAGACACAAACAAUAACCUAUUAUCUGACAGUUGUCGUUGUUUUGUACAAUUCAUAUAUGGUUUGCUCUUAAAGCUACUGAGCUUGUUUCUGUAGUUUUUCACAUAAAUAUUGCUCUUAAAUAUGUUCCUUUAAUUUAUAAUCGAAUCUUGUAAUUUACCAUAUUAUAAAUCAUGAACUAUCUUAUAAAUAGUCAUACUAAUAUUGUUAACAUGAAAAAAAUACCCAACUUCGAAUUAUAUUUCGGUUGUUGUUAUUAUUUUCACGUUUCUUUGUGCUACUAUAAAUACGUUAAUUGAUCUGUCAUCGUGUUUCUACACAACAUGUAUGUGUAGAUACAUAGCAGGUAGUUGGGCUCAAUGAAUUAGUUGGAUUUUAUCUAAACCGUGGAUAUAGAGGCAAUAUUUUGAAGAGUACUUGCCUUCUAGAUUUUGAAG